AGGAGCAAGAUUCGUAGAGCCUCAGCCAGCAGACCUAGCUGCUUUGUACGCUGAAUCUGACCCUCUAGCACCGAUUAUAUUCGUAUUGUCGACUGGUACUGAUCCUGCUGCAGAUCUGCUUAAGUUUGCCGAUAAAAUGAAAAUGGGGAAACGUUUCGAGAGUAUAUCGUUGGGUCAGGGGCAGGGACCCAUAGCGGAAGCAAUGAUGAAAGUUGGCUGUGACUUUGGUAAUUGGGUAUUUUUCCAGGUAAGGGUUUCCAGUUACCUUACAGUUAUGAUAACUUCAAAUUAUUAUUUAUACCAGCUGAUACUUGGAAGGGACGCAGGCAUGUUUUUUUAUUAGUGU
This 346-nucleotide unclassified non-coding RNA is filed under the name Melitaea cinxia (Glanville fritillary). RNAcentral describes it as "misc RNA ENSMCXG00005016566.1". Lineage: Eukaryota; Metazoa; Arthropoda; Insecta; Lepidoptera; Nymphalidae. The record is from RNAcentral.